RNAcentral lists this long non-coding RNA (3636 nucleotides) under Podarcis lilfordi (Lilford's wall lizard). The record is from RNAcentral. Lineage: Eukaryota; Metazoa; Chordata; Lepidosauria; Squamata; Lacertidae.
AGACCCCAAGCGAGCGGCUCGGCUGUGCGCGGCCAAGAAUUACCCCACAGCCGACGGCUGUCAGUCGCAGCCUGUCACCGAUUGCUCCCAUAAACCGCGCAAUCUCGCCGGAUUUGGAUCUCGCCCUUCGGUUCAAGGACUGUCUUAGCGUGCGCUUAAUAAUCGUCAUAAAAAUCUCCGGUGCCGUCGCACUUGGAAUACCGUGCGCCGUUUUGGUGACCCCAUUUCACUCUCACGCCACUGCACGGGUGUAGUAGCCAAGCAGAUGUCCCCCUAAAUCAAGUAAAUAAGUAAAAAUACUUAACUAACUCACCAAACCCGUCGUAGGUAGGUCGAUUCUGCCCCCCCCCAUGUAAAUCCUGCCCCUUCCCACCUAAAUCCUGACUACGCUAUGCCCACGUGCUGAAGAGCUGGAAAGGGUACAGGAAAGACCAAGCAAAAUGACCAGGGGAUUGGAGCAACUCCCACAAGAGUUUGUGGGCUUUGGGGUAUAGAACAGUUGCCAAGAAAUUGUGGGAAAUCAUGUUUGCCACCUUGGAGGGAUAGGUGUGAUAUAAAUGUAAUAAAUAAAGGCUGUGUGGAUGCUUCCUGGCACUCAGGUCCUUUGCUGACGCUGUAACUAUAGAAAUAACUGGGCAACAGCAACAAUUGUCUUAUGCCCUGCUCAAAGGCAUCUGGUUGGCCACCUUAUGUUACUAUGUGUGUUACUAUUUUCUUUCGGAGCUCAGGUGGCGUAUAUGAAGUUUCUUGUUUGUCUGGCAAAUAGCGAUAAAUCCCAAAUCAUUCUGUCAAAGCCAGAUUCGAAGCCAAGUAAACGACAGCCCAUAUUUGAAUCUUCGAAAUCUCUUUUAUUCUUUCUCAACAAAAGUGAGGGGAAGGCUGGAGGGAAACAAGGAGCAAGCAAAUCCAUGCUUUUCUCAUUCUUCGCCCGAUCAUUUUGAUGGUGAAAACAAAAGGCUGAUGGAAGGGUGUGAGCAGGUAAUGAAGCCCCUCCCACAUUGUUUUACACACAGCCUCAAGAGCUCACCUGCCAGAAACCUCACUCACACCUCAAUUUAUUUACUGACCCAUGCUGCCUACACAGGAUCACACCCUUGCUGUAUUCUGUGCUCAUUAAUUGAUGUAGAAUGACUUCUCUCUCUGCAAAGAGAGAUGAGCAUCACCUUGGUCCUCCCUAAACAUUCAGCUACAGGGUUCUGAAAAAAGCAUAUCUUUGUCAUACUUUAAUUGCCCGUGUUAUGAGUCAAAUAAAAGGUGUUGAAAAAUAAGUAACUUAAGCUAAUGCAUCUUCAAUGCUUGCUUUCUUUGUCAUUUUUAAGCUUUUCAGUGAAUCAAGUCUCUUACUGCUUGGAGACUCUUGAGAGCUUUGGUGCAUCUCAUUUUAAAAUUUACAUUUGUCAUAUUUCUAGAAGUGAAAUUCAAGACACAAAAGCUGUUGAGCUUUUUUGACAUAUGGCAAGCCUAACAUAUUUAUUCUCCCCUGCCUCCUUGAAUAUAUCAGGAUUGGGGCUGGAUUGGGAGUUUCAUAGCAACUCUGAGGAAGUGUUUCAUUGAGGCUGCAGCAGGCAAAGAGGGAGACUCCUUUGCACCCACAGCCCCAAUCCCAAUUCUCCUUAUUGUGGCUGAUAUUUAGAUAACCAGGUGGCAGUCAGACUGUUAAGGUCACAUCCGCAUGGGCCCCAAGACCUCAAGCCUCUCAGAUCCUUUGCUAAUGGAUCAACAAAGCCAGCUAUGCCAUAGCAGAUUGUGAGGAAGAGAAGUACCAUAGUUUUCUGUGUAUAACACGCUCCCGUGUAUAAGACGCCCCCUAUUUUUGGGGACUCAAAAUUAAGAAAAUGGGGGGAGAUUGCCCCCGUGUAUAAGACUACCCCCCCUUUUAACAUUAUUUCUUAGUAAAAAAAACCCUAGUCUUAUACACAGAAAAGUACAGUAAUUCCUCUGUUUCUGUAAAACAACAAGGGAAACAUCCUGUUUUUCAGUAACAUUGUGGUUGUGAAAACCAAUUGGCAUUAUGUGUACAGUGGCAUCUCGGGUUACAUACGCUUCAGGUUACAUAUGCUUCAGGUUACAGACUCCGCUAACCCAGAAAUAUUACCUCGGGUUAAGAACUUUGCUUCAGGAUGAGAAUAGAAAUCGUGCAGCAGUGGUGCGGCGGCAGCAGGAGGCCCCAUUAGCUAAAGUGGUGCUUCAGGUUAAGAACAGUUUCAGGUUAAGAACGGACCUCCAGAAUGAAUUAAGUUCUUAACCCGAGGUACCACUGUAUGUGUGUGUGUAUCUCUGUAUGCGCACAUAUAUAAUCAUAGAAAAUAAUUCUUUUCUUUCUUUGGAAUGGUGAGAGAGACUUUUUUUUUAAGUGUGGUUGUUGAAACCAACCAACAUAAAUUAGCCUGAGUACUAGCCAGACUUUACAGUAUAUACCUGUGUAUUUUUUAUAUUUAAAAAGAUAGAUUACCUAUUAAUAUGCUGAUGAAUAAUUGCCCCCUACCCUUCAACUUUGUGGGCUUCCUUGUAUUUCAAAAAGUGGAAGCAUCUUGGGUAAUGUUCAUUUCUAUCAAACUGUUUAAGACUGACUCUAACCAGAUGCCACUGGAAAACACAGGAGAAAGCCUGUUUGGUUGACACCCCCUUGCCCAGAUUCCAGACAGAAGAGGCUUGUGUGCAAACAGAUAAGAUGGGAGAAGUGUUGCUGACAAGUUGAACCCCUGACCCCAGGCUUAGAACGACAAAGCAAGGUUUAGGUUCACCCAGGGCACUGGUGGCUUCCAACGGCUGUCUUGAUAAGUGCUUCGCAGAGCUGGUUUGUGUUUUGCCAGAAAGCACACUGACAAAUUUCCUCUGUGUUGUUUUCAGCUGAAAUAUGAUAUUCUUGUGCGACUCCAUCUCUUACCCUGCUGCCACGUUUCCCAGAAGUGUCUGUAUGUGUGUCCAGUGUGACUAGUUCUGUCAAACACAAUCCCCUCUCCUACCUUCACGGCUGUUUUCUACCUCAAGGGCCCUGGGCUAUAGCCUGCCCCAACAUUUAGCAGAGAAACACGAAGAACGAGCUUUUCCAGGGGCUAUUAAGCUUACUUUGAAGUAAAUGGAGAGAGGAAAUUACCCAAGCCUUCUGCUGGUUUUAAGCAACAAUCAGAUUUGGGACUCUGGCACAGAAAGGGCUUUUAUUAUAAUAUAAAUGCUUCCUGUGCAUCCCAGUGUAACUCAAGGCAAGGUUGCACACAAAACAGAAAGAGGGUUUGUUUGUUUUUCUGGAUAGUGCCAUGGGGCAGCUUCAGGAAUGGGUCCAUGGAAGAAGAAGAAGAGGAGGAGGAGGAGGAAUUUAUUUGUACCCCGCUCAUCUGGCUGGGUUUCCCCAGCCGCUCUGGGCGGCUUCCAACAAAGGUUAAAAAUACAUUAAAAUUUCACACAUUAAAAACUUCCCUAAACAGGGCUGCCUUCAGAUGUCUUCUAAAUCAGGUAGUUGUUUAUCUCUUUGACAUGUGAUGGGAGGGCGAGAUUUGCACAUGGGGACUUAGUUCUCUGUUUGUAUGACUUAUAUAAGUCAGCCUAGCCAAAUGCCAAAAACAGUAUUGAUCUGAGGGUGUAUUUACAAUUUUUGUAUCUUCCAGUUACAAGCCAAAUAAAGACUAAGACAAAGGC